GACGAACGCUGGCGGCGUGCUUAACACAUGCAAGUCGUACGGUAAGGCCCUUUCGGGGGUACCCGAGUGGCGAACGGGUGAGUAACACGUGAGUAACCUGCCCACAACUUUGGGAUAACGCUAGGAAACUGGUGCUAAUACUGGAUAUGUGCCCCUGCUGCAUGGUGGGGGUUGGAAAGCUCCGGCGGUUGUGGAUGGACUCGCGGCCUAUCAGCUUGUUGGUGGGGUAGUGGCCUACCAAGGCGGCGACGGGUAGCCGGCCUGAGAGGGUGACCGGCCACAUUGGGACUGAGAUACGGCCCAGACUCCUACGGGAGGCAGCAGUGGGGAAUAUUGCACAAUGGGCGCAAGCCUGAUGCAGCAACGCCGCGUGCGGGAUGACGGCCUUCGGGUUGUAAACCGCUUUCAGCAGGGACGAAGCUUUUUGUGACGGUACCUGCAGAAGAAGCACCGGCUAACUACGUG
RNAcentral lists this ribosomal RNA (465 nucleotides) under uncultured bacterium. Its description in RNAcentral is "partial 16S ribosomal RNA". It matches the Rfam family "Bacterial small subunit ribosomal RNA", at positions 28 to 507 of the family's 1533-position model. The record is from RNAcentral.